This is a long non-coding RNA of Spinacia oleracea (spinach), 1346 nucleotides long. RefSeq lists it as uncharacterized. NCBI's taxonomy places the organism in Eukaryota, Viridiplantae, Streptophyta, Magnoliopsida, Caryophyllales, Amaranthaceae. The record is from RefSeq and is a predicted model, not a curated record. The transcript is spliced from 5 exons.
AAUUUCAAAAAGUAAAAUAAAAAAUAGAACCAAACUUGUGACAGUGACGGAAAUUACUAUCAUUCCUGAUUCCAAAACUCCAGUAAGGAUUAACAAAGGAUAUUGGUAAUUUGAAGGCAAAUCACGACGAUUAAGGGGGAAAUCGUUCAGGCAUUCAGUUUUGGCGGGAUUACAAGAAACAGCGUUUUGCUUCAUCCAACCCAUGGGAUGUUGCAAACUGAUGGAUAUCUUCAGCAAAAUACCGAGGAUCAAAUUCGUAAUUCUCAGAUUGUCUCAAUGGUACAUAGCAGGGUUGACGCUACAGUUUGUCACCUUUUAAUGCUCCAGUGGAUUGUACAACCUUUUCCAUUCUAAAAGGAUCCUUCAGAGUGUUAUUCUCUUCACGCUUACACCAUUCCUUGCAUUUGAUCAAGUCAGGCUAUGCUAUUGCUAACACCUUGAACCAUGCCCUUUCAGCUUCGGCUGUCUGAUCUACUAGUAUUGGUUUUUACUUUGGAGUCUUCCUCAUUGAUGCCCGCGAGAAAAAGAGGCUAAUCAGCUUGAAAAAGUGACAACCAGAGAAAGCGGACCAAGAAUAUUCAAAUUGUCGGACCUGCUUUUUCAGCUGUGGGGGUUUUUUGCAGCUGCUUUUCUUGACUACUGUAGCAAGUAUGGCCUACCAAAUUUGAUCAUUCUCCAGCUUCUUUCUCCUCUCUUAUAUGGAACCUCCAAACCCAGUUACGUUGCUCUCGGUUAAGUUAUUAAGGAUUUUCUGUUCGGUGAAGUCUACCCUAUGAAAAGAGAUUUCCAAUUUCUUCCGGGAUGGUUCCUGUCAAAUUGUUGGUUGAAAGAUCGAUUUCUGCUAAAUUCAAGGCCCUGAUCGAUGUUGGAAUCCCUCCUGAUAGCCUAUUUUUGUGCAAGUAUAAAUAUGUCAAGUUCUGAAGCAAAAACAACCCACUUGGAAUUUCACCCACCAAGUUAUUUUCCACCAAGUCUAAAUGCUCAAGGUUAAUUAAAUUGGCGAAACCUUUUGGGAUUUCACCAAUCAAAUUACAUUGAGUCAUCCAAAGUAACCUUAAACUCUUAAGCAUCCCAAAUUCUCUGGGUAAGUUGGUAGGGGAAAAUGGGUUGAUUGCUAACACCAAUUCCUCGAGGUUUUCCAAGUUUCCAAGCUGAGCAGGAAAUGUGCCAUUGAACAAAUUGGAAUCCAAACGAAGGUGAUCAACCUUUUGAGUUGAGCCAAUGACGUUGGGAUAUCUCCAGUGAAGUUGUUUAGACUAAGGUCAAGGUAUUGAAGAUUAGAAGAAAGUUUAUUUACAUCAUUUGGUAAUUUCCCUACAAAGAAGUUUGAAGAUAGGACUAAUGUU